This 500-nucleotide ribosomal RNA is filed under the name uncultured bacterium. Its description in RNAcentral is "bacterial SSU rRNA". It matches the Rfam family "Bacterial small subunit ribosomal RNA", at positions 23 to 518 of the family's 1533-position model. The record is from RNAcentral.
CUCAGGAUGAACGCUAGCGGCAGGCCUAACACAUGCAAGUCGCGGGGCAGCACGGGUAGCAAUACCUGGUGGCGACCGGCGCACGGGUGCGUAACGCGUAUGCAACCUGCCCCCAUCAGGGGAAUAGCCCGCCGAAAGGCGGAUUAAUGCCCCAUAGGCCCAGGGCGCCGCAUGGCGCUAUGGGUAAAGCUCCGGCGGAUGGGGAUGGGCAUGCGUGCCAUUAGCUAGUUGGGGCGGUAACGGCGCACCAAGGCGACGAUGGCUAGGGGGUCUGAGAGGAUGGUCCCCCACACUGGUACUGAGACACGGACCAGACUCCUACGGGAGGCAGCAGUGAGGAAUAUUGGUCAAUGGGCGGAAGCCUGAACCAGCCAUGCCGCGUGCAGGAUGACGGCCCUACGGGUUGUAAACUGCUUUUCCCCGGGAAGAAUAAGCCCCUCGUGAGGAGUGAUGCCGGUACCGGGGGAAUAAGGAUCGGCUAACUCCGUGCCAGCCGCCGC